CACGGGGGGAGCAAGCGUUGUUCGGAAUCACUGGGCGUAAAGGGCGUGUAGGCGGUCAGGUAAGUGGGACGUGAAAUGCCUCGGCUCACCCGAGGAGCGGCGUCCCAUACUGCUUGGCUUGAGUACGGGAGAGGAUGUGGGAAUUCCUGGUGUAGCGGUGAAAUGCGUAGAUAUCUGGAGGAACACCGGUGGCGAAGGCGGCAUCCUGGACCGGUAUUGACGCUGAGGCGCGAAAGCCAGGGGAGCAAACGGG
This 253-nucleotide ribosomal RNA is filed under the name uncultured bacterium. Its description in RNAcentral is "partial 16S ribosomal RNA". It matches the Rfam family "Bacterial small subunit ribosomal RNA", at positions 524 to 776 of the family's 1533-position model. The record is from RNAcentral.